UAAGGAAUAUUGGUCAAUGGGCGGAAGCCUGAACCAGCCAUGCCGCGUGCAGGAUGACUGCCCUAUGGGUUGUAAACUGCUUUUGUCCAGGAAUAAACCUAGAUACGUGUAUCUAGCUGAAUGUACUGGAAGAAUAAGGAUCGGCUAACUCCGUGCCAGCAGCCGCGGCAAUACGGAGGAUCCGAGCGUUAUCCGGAUUUAUUGGGUUUAAAGGGUGCGUAGGCGGCCUAUUAAGUCAGGGGUGAAAUACGGUGGCUCAACCAUCGCAGUGCCUUUGAUACUGAUGGGCUUGAAUCCAUUUGAAGUGGGCGGAAUAAGACAAGUAGCGGUGAAAUGCAUAGAUAUGUCUUAGAACUCCGAUUGCGAAGGCAGCUCACUAAGCUGGUAUUGACGCUGAUGCACGAAAGCGUGGGGAUCGAACAGGAUUAGAUACCCUGGUAGUCCACGCCCUAAACGAUGAUAACUCGAUGUUGGCGAUAGACAGCCAGCGUCCAAGCGAAAGCGUUAAGUUAUCCACCUGGGGAGUACGCCCGCAAGGGUGAAACUUAAAGGAAUUGACGGGGUCAUAGCUGUUUCCU
RNAcentral lists this ribosomal RNA (578 nucleotides) under uncultured bacterium. RNAcentral describes it as "partial 16S ribosomal RNA". It matches the Rfam family "Bacterial small subunit ribosomal RNA", at positions 355 to 1375 of the family's 1533-position model. The record is from RNAcentral.